UGUCGUGUCGUGGCAUAGCUUUGCAAAGCCCGCUCAAAUCAAAAAACCUGUUUAGUUACCGAACAUUACCACAACCUCAACUUGGGCGUAUUUGCCAGACUGUGUAGUUCCUUGUUUAAUGUAUUUUUUUUUUUAUUUAAUCGUGUAGUGAUAAUCUGGUUACAGAUAAUUCCUAUUCACUAGCCCUUUCAAAUAACUGUGUUUGAUUCAGUGAACCGAAAUCUGUGAAUAAUGUGUGUUUACCUUUGUGGCUUACAAGUGUUUGGAAACAGUUUGUCGUGUUAAAAUACCUAUUUUAAGGUGUGUGUUUAAAGUUAAAGUAACAGAAAGGUGAGGUAUUCAUUCGAGUUGAGUGCAUUGUGCAUAAAACAUGAAACAAGUGAUAAUUGUACAUUAAUUACGAAGUUAUAAGUGCUAUGAAGAAAGGGAUGUCAUUAGAUCUCUGUCUUCAAAUUGAUUGAAUUGCAUACUUCAGUGAACACCGUGUGAAUCUUUCCUUUUACCUGCCGCCAGCUUUGCAAAAGCUACAAUGUUAAACUUGAGGCAUGGUGUGUUGUGUGCAAUCAUGGAUCUGUGAUGGGCCGCACUGACUCGCACACACGCAGCGGAGGCGUCAUGUAGACAUGGCGAGUGGCAAGGCUCUGUACUCCAUAGCCGUUGUCGUUCUUGGCUUCAUCUGCUUCAUCGUUGGAGCCAUCGCUGUCGGGCUGCCCACUUGGGGGUACUUCUACAGUUAUGAUUCGGACCUAGCGCUAUCGGUCCAGUCCUAUUAUUUUGAGAACCCUAACUUCGAUCAGGGGUACUUCGGACCAUGGAGGGUUUGCAAAAAGCUGCUCUACAACAGAGAGAAAUGUGGAUCGGAAGUCUCCAAGUUCCGGCCGUCAACGGCGGUCCACAUAGCGGGCGUGGUGGCGGCGGUCGGGGUCUCCGUGCUGGGCGUGUUCUGCGUGCUGUCCGUGCUGCAGCUGGCCAUGAUCUCGAGCCGGGAGCGCGUGGGGCUGCAGUACACGCACCUCGUCACGCUGAAGUUGGCGCUUGCGCUGCUGGCCGCAUUGCUGUCGAUUUCGGCGGCCGGCCUGUUCGCCGUGCAGGGCGAUGACAGGGGCUUCUACCUGACCAGGGGAGAAGCGUUCUAUGUACAGAUAGUGUGCAUAGUACUGAACUCGGCGCUGUUCAUCGUGUCGCUGUACGACAGUCUGUUCUCGCGGCGCGCCGGCGGAGACCCCACGAGCCCGCUCGAGGCCGCCACCAUCGGCAACCCUGGCUUCAAGGAUGGCAGAGGCAUAUCCAUGACAGACGCAUCAGGCAAGCCGUACAGUUCUAACGGGCAUGGCAGCGUGGUUUCCAUGAAUACCACCAUGUCCACCGUCACCGGGCUGUCGGAUGCCAGCACCAUCACUCGGUCACCUCUUCGGUCCUCGCUCAAGAAGCCAAGGCCCCGGGAAGGGGAGCCCGGGGGCCUGGGCAUACAGAACCCGGGCUACUCCGGGCACUCCCCAACAUUGAACCGGAACGGUAGCCAGAAGAAAGUAAGGAUCCAAACGCACAGUACUGAAGUGUAAUGUGAUUUUGUGUGGCCUUUAAGAUUGUUAUACAGGUAUUGUGGUGAUUGCUUGUUAAGAUACGUGUUCAAAAUGGAACGGUGGUAAAAAAUAUUUUUGAAUAAUAACUUUUGGUGUGGGUAGUAUGCGCCGAUAAAAAGGUGUAAUAGUACCCUGGAUGGGUUCACUUUCAGAGUGAGCUUGUCCUUGCUACGGCCCCUGAAUAAUGUAUGAAAACUACUGUGAAGGUGCAAAUUGCAGGUAGAAUUGUACCUGCUAUAAGAAAGUCUGAUUCAGGAAAUAAAACUGGACCAAAAUAUUUGUGAAUGUUUAUAUUCCGUAUUUUAAUACUUAUAGAUAUGUAUUCUAUUUCAAUUGGAUCAUGAAUUUUGCAAGACUAAUCAACUAAACAAACGUAGGUUCCCUACGCAGCUUUUAUAUGUAUUUGAUCAUCAUUAAAGUUACUACUUUUUAGUCUUAAGUCUCUGUAAUUUAAAUGAAAAUUUAUUUAUAGAUAGAUAGAUACUAUAAAUCUCGGCUUCUUUAAAUCUGGGCUUAAAUCGUAUAUACCUACCUAUUUACAUUCUGUAGAUUCAAUAUUAAUUUGAUGUCUUUGUAUUAAAAAUAUAGAUUUAGACAUGGAAGUAUUAAAAAAGAUCUUUUAUACUACUUCCAUGGAUUUAGAGCCAAAUAUUGGAAAAAAAUAUAAUUGUGUAUAAUGAUUAUAAUAUUUAUAAUGCACAUCGCACAAAAGAAUUUAUUAAUUAAUUAAACGUCUAGGUAUCUAAAAAAUCCAUUCGAAAUUGUGUAGGUAUCAUAAUAUGUGUGCAACUUAUGUAGAUAAAAAGAUAUGAAAAAAUUCACAGAUGUAAUACAUAAUAUGACGAAAUUAAAAAUAAAACUAUCUCAAGUAAGUGGAAUAGUCAAUAUUGUAAUUACAAACUUCAGUUGCAGAUUUGACCAUGACGUAUAUCGAUAUAUGGCAAAAUAUAAUUCCAACUGCAAAGAAGUUUCUUUUUUGAGAGAGCUUAUCUUUGUACCCUCAGUGCGCGAGUCUAACUCGCACUUGGCCACUUUUUUUUUCAUUUAGGUUCUAGUACAUUAUCAUUCUUGUUUUUUUAUAAUAGGAAGUGUGUUAUUUGUAUUAGCCUUCCUUGUUUACUUCAAAGUAGGUAUGUUAUUGUAUAUUUUAGUUCCAUUAAAUGGACAAAUUGUGUAGGUAGCUGUACACAAAUAUAUUUUAGUUAUUUAACGCAAUUUUGUUCUCGCAAUAUAUAUUUACCUUUUGAACUAAGUUCUUCUUGAUAUUAUGUCGCUGUUGAUAACACUAUAUUGUAAAUAAUGUAUCAGCUCAAAGCGUUGUUAAAUGUGUUAUAUGAUUCUGCUAUUUACAAUACCUAUAUAUGUCUGUACUGUACCUCAGCAGAGGUAAAGAAAAAUAAGUUAAAUUUUGGUAUGUUUUUUAAGACGUAAAAAUAUAUAUAUUGUAUUUUAAGUUUCAAUUUUUUAUUUCAAUAACUAUCUGUUGAUGAUAUGAGUUGCUUUCAUACGAUUAUGUAUUUUGUAUAUGGCAGAUUGUAUAAAUGUAACUUCUGAUACAUAAAAAUUUAGUUUUAUACAUAUUGCUAAUGCCGGAUCACAUAUGUAUGUAUAUAUUGUGUAUGUAUAUAUUUUGCAUGAAUAAAUGUAUUUUUUCUGAAUAUGUAACGCUGUGCAUUACUUUAACUAUUGACAAUUAGGUAAUUAUGUAAGUAGGUAAUUUUAUUUUAUGAAUGUACCACCACACACGACAUUCUGUUUUGAUAUGUAUUUUUUAAUAUUAUAAGCAAAGUAUUUAGUAAAUAAGAUAUGUACCUUCUAUGUUACUUGCUUUUAAAAUUCAUAAACACAAUUUGUAUGGUAGUAUGGAUUUAUUUGUAAGAUUAGAAGUAAGUCUUGUAAAUACACAAUUACAUGGUAUUAAUUAACCCACCAGGUUUUUAAGAAAUCAUCACAUUAAGGUAUUUACGUAGUUAAUCCAGUACUGGGUAUUACAGCCAUCUAUUUUUAAAUUUUAUUUGAUGCAGAUCGAAUCUCAUAAUAUCUUCACUAUAUUAGGCAAACGAAUAUGUCUCAAUAUUUUUUUAAUUACAGCUGGCCUUGGUAAAGUUAAUAUCACCCUAUAUGUAGUUUUGUAUAUUGUACUAUCUUAGAUCUGUUUGCAAUAUGCAUGCUUCAGUUUUGAAGAACAACUGUACUUUAUUUUGUAAAUUUUUUUAUAAAGCAGUCUGGAUUCACCAUAUUCUUUACAUAAUACAAUAUAGGUUAAAACCUAUAUUGUAUUAUGUAUUAUGUUCUACAUUCUUUCUACAUUUUAAGAUAUAUUAUGUUUAUCCUAUUUCCGUCCAAAUUCUGGUCUCACUACAUUAGCAUCACGUUUUUUUGAGUAGUUGUAAAAUGUAUUAAUGAAACUCAGAAUUUUAUUAUUGUUAAUGUUUUUAGUAUAUAUGGGUUUCGAAUUAGUCAUUCGCUUCACGUUUCUUUAAGAUAACGUCUGGCAAGCAAUUUAUUACAAUGUUGAUUUGUACAUCCGUCCAAUUUAAUAGCUAGUUAUUUUAUGUAAUUAAAUAAAUUAUACGUAAGAUUUGAAA
Molecule: long non-coding RNA, 4171 nt
Organism: Plutella xylostella (diamondback moth)
Lineage: Eukaryota; Metazoa; Arthropoda; Insecta; Lepidoptera; Plutellidae
Source: RefSeq, a predicted model, not a curated record